RNAcentral lists this long non-coding RNA (28739 nucleotides) under Ricinus communis (castor bean). RNAcentral describes it as "long non-coding RNA (RCOM_LNC000418)". Lineage: Eukaryota; Viridiplantae; Streptophyta; Magnoliopsida; Malpighiales; Euphorbiaceae. The record is from RNAcentral.
AAGCAUUUAAUUUACUAAACUAUAGUAUAUUAGGCUAGAAUUAUCAAAUCUUUAUCAAUACAGAAAAUUAUACCAACACUUAACUAACAAUCACAAAAUCAACCAUUUCAGUUAUUCUCAUAAACAUAUAAUUUCAUCUCACGUAAUGCAAAUAAUCUCAAACUCAAUCAAGUCAAAUAAUUCAAUUCCACAUUAUUUCUAUCAAAUUAGGAUCAGAUGACUCAUCCUUACAUUUCCUCACAUUUUUAAAUUUCAGUAACCACUUGACAAGACUAUCCGCCCGGCUCAGUCUUGCCAUCUCACAUACUCGGGUAGCUAUCCGCCCGGCUCAGCUUUCCCGAUCACACAAUAUCCAUACAAAAGUCAUCAAUCCUUAAUCACAAUCAUUUCACUUCACAACACAUCACAAUCAAUUCACUUUAUAACAAGCCAAAAACAUAACUAAUAUCAACUCAGUCAACCAAGAAAUUAUCAAGUAAUCAAACAGCAGUCCCUACUCAAUAUACACAAAGUUUAGUCUAUUAAAUACUUACCAAAAGUUAUAGGAUAACAAAGUAAUCCUAUUCUUUUUCUCUUACCACUUCCUUGCCUUUGGAUGAACCUAUUCACAUAUUCAAUACAAAUACAAUUCAAUCACAAGGCAUAAAUAUAUAUAUAUAUAUAUUUACUAUCAAUAAAAUAUCACAUUUCAACAAAAUAACAUAUAUUUUAGAUAUUAAUAUGAUGCAUGAGAUGAAUGACAACAAAUCAACAUAUUUGUUGAUGAAGGCAGCUUGUAGGUACUGAAUUAGAAAUUACACCAAAACUUAUGUACAAUUAAUAAAAAUCUCAUAUUUUCCAGAAUUACACUUCCAUUUUUAUAGAAACCAUAGCAGAAAGAAUCACCUCAAAAUCAUUGGUAUAGAAAUAGUUAUGGCAUUUUCUAUACAGCUGCUCAAAUUUCCAUCUAAACAGAACAGAAAAAAGUUUCCUAUUAAAUGACCAAUCAAACGAAUGAAUUUUCUGAUGAAACUCUCCAGAUAUAAAGUUAACAUUCUAAAGUUUCUAUAGACACUAAUUUUACUCAAUUUGGACUUUUCUAGCUCAAGUUGUGAAACACACAAUUAACAACAAAUUUCUGAAUCCUAAGCCCGAUUUCUGCUUAAAACAGUUUCGGGCAGGCCAUAUUAAGUUCAACAUAUCUCACGUUAUACUCAACCAAAAAUUAUGAAAUUUUUCAGACAUAUACUACAUAUAUAAAUGAACAACUUUCAUGUUUAACUCUCUGCUUGGUUCAGCCUCUAAAUGCCUCAAAAUGUCAGCACAAAAACCAGGUCACCUGCUGAACCAAAAACAGAGCAGCAGCAAAAUCGAACCUCAUAAGUUCCUACUCACUCAACAAUCUGCAAAACCAUUUUACAGAGAUAUUCUUGAGACAUAUACCUACAACUUUUAUGUUUGAAAAUUUUCGAGAUAAAGCCUCUAAGGUCACGAAAUCAUAAGUGAAAAAUCUGCCCAGAAAUUUCAGCUUCAAGAUCACAAGUAAAAGCAUGUUUACUCUUAAUUAAACAAUUCCAAAACACAUAAUCAUCAACAAUUUCAUAUCAUUAACCCUAAUUUACAGCAAAAUCAAGCAAUUAAAAUUACUCACCUUUGUUUUCCUUGAUUAAGAAAGCCCAAAUCUUUCAAGCUUAAAAGAAGAAUUUGAUUUUCACUUACUAAAAGUUUUGUAGAGUUUGAUUUGGAAAAUCAAAGUUGAAGAAGGAAAGGAGAAAAAUGAGAGAGACAAAGAAGAAAAGGAAAUUGGAAAGCAUACGUAGAUAAGAACAAAUGAAAGAGGUGGUAUAUUGGUGUGGAAAUAGGCAAAUUACAAUUUAAUCCUCUUUCUUUCUAAUUUUUCAAUUUAGUCCAAAAUCAUUACUUUUCAAUUAAAUCAAUAUGUAACUAAAUAAUUUAUUUAUCUACCACAUAAUAUAAUAAAAUAGAUCAUAUAUAAUCAUGAUGCAAAUGACAUGUUUAAUGACAUGCUAAUGAAUAUUAAUUAUUAAUAAAAAGAAAUAAAUAAAUUUGGUUGUGACAAUCAGGCCUUAGGCCCAAAAUAUGCAGGCUUUGUACUUAUACUAAGAAACAUUGCCUUGUUUGUUUUAAAAUUUGCUUUGAUAAGUUUAUGGCAUGCGCGUCGGGCCUACUAUCCCCUAUUGAUAGGAAGCCCAAACCUAAAAAUCCUAGGAAAGAAAAGACCUACCAUGAAUUGUGUGCGGAAGUAAAAAGGUUGGAAGGAAGAUUUGUAUAUUAAUGUGUGUGCUAACCUUUUUUCUUUUAGCUUCGUGCAUAUCAUGUGCAUCAUGCAUCACAUGCAUCACACUAACCAUUUGUUUUUUAGCCAUAUAGAUUCUCCUUUAGGUUGGAAGAGGCAAGAUAGCAGAAGGCUAGAACGGGUACCCAUUUCUCCAAGGAUUUGAACCAUAUUAGAGCUUGUUGAAAGACCAAGGCGCCAAGCUACCAAUGAAGCCACAUCUGAAAUGGCCAACGAAAGAGCUAAUGAGCAAGACAUAAAGAUCCUCAAGAAUGCCAUCAUCGACGAUCCGAGGGGUGUGACCCCAAGGAACUCCAAUAGCUUUGGGCUGGGAUGGCUGCGAACCAAGCCCCACCUACUACUCCAAUUGCACCAGCUAAUCCCCCUAGUGUUAUUGACCCAAUUGCAGUUGUAACUAAGACUGCUGCUACAACUGCAAUCACUAUUACUGCUGCUGUGAAUGCUAAUGUUGAAGACCCUACUAGAAGAGGAGUGCCACAAAAUUUCUGAGAUUUUGACAAAUAUGUACUGGACUAAUCCAAAAGGGAAAUAACCCUUGCCACUAAUGAAGCUGUAAGUGGCUUAAGUGCUAGGCUUGACAAGAUGCAAGACAUGUUGAAACUUAAAGGGUUAGACUCGACCUAUGAUUUCAAGGAGUUAUUAUUGACUAGUGAGGACAAGCUGCUUGCAAAGUUCAAAAUGCCUGAGAUGAACAAGUUCAACAGGAUUGGUGAUCCAAAGAUUCAUCUAAAGCAAUAUGUGACCAUCAUAGGGACUUGGUUCUUGACUAGGUGGAGAAACAAGGUUUGGUUGAUGAAGAACAAGCCUUCUGAAAAAGACCAAGUCCAUAUGAUGGUUCGAAAUGUUCUUCCUGGUUGGGUCAAAAGGCUUCAGAUGAUGAAUCUAAAGACUUUUAUGAACCUAUAUGAUAAUGCGCUUCAGAUUGAGAAAAUCGAAAAUGACAAAAGGAACACUAUGCAAACUGGCAGAAGGCCAAACUAUCAGGCUGAGGGGAGUAGAACUCUAGAUGUGAAUGCUAUCCAACAAUCGAGAAAGUUGUCUUACUUUAAACAAGCUCUCUCAAACAUCUUUGAGAUAUUAUUACAUAAUGGAAUAUGCUCCAACCAACCACUUCCAAGAACCCACGAAACCGAAAUGCACCCGGCUACAAACCCAAUACCUACUGUAAGUUCCAUUAAGCACCCGACCACCAUACAAACAACUACAUCCGGCUGAAACAUGAAAUUUAAGACCUUAUCAAUGCCAAAAAAAUUAACCAACCCAGACCAGCCCAGUACUAAAUAAUAAACCCUUUACUAAACUACAACACACCACCACCAAAUUAAGUGUCCACGAUCAUCCCUGACUUUACUGAAGAGGAAGUCAUGAACUCUUUCAAAUUGUGCCGAGUGGCUAGGGUCAGAGGAAUAUGAGUCUUAUAUUCUAGAGGUUUGGAAGAAAGGAGAAAAAAAGUCGAUCAUGGCAAUUGAUAUUUGGUACAAUUCUGGAGAUGAGUGUAAGGUCCAAGAUGCUGAGGCAAAGAUAUUUGGCUGACAGUGACUCUGAUAAAGAAGUCAAGCUAGUGGAUAAGGAGGUCCAAGAAUUGAAGCAGGUCGAAAAAGCCCUGAAGGGGAUAUGGGUUGCUAGAGUAGCUAGAGAAGGAAUAGAAGAUAGCCGACAUCUGAGAGUUGCUGAUGCACUCAUCGGAUCAUUGGAAGGCUCUAAUUCGAGCCUUGUCCAGUAUAAACAUUAUCACAGCAGCUGCCCCCGAAGAAAUUAUCAAAACGGUAACUGACAAAACCAUCGAGAUGAUCAUUUUCUCGGAUGAAGACUUGCCACUCGAGGGGAGAGACCAUAACAAGGCUUUUUAUAUAACUGUAAAAGUCAAGGGAAAAAGGACCCCAUGUGUGAUGGUAAAUGAUAGGUCAGCCAUCAAUGUGUGUCCUUCUCUCAUACUCCCUAAUCUAGGGAUGACUAUGAAAGAUCUGAAGCCAUCAGAUAUGGUAAUAAGAGCCUAUGAUGAGACGAAGAGGUACGUGGAAGGAAUGGUCUUAACACUGAUGGAAAUGGGUCCUAUCCAAUCUUGGGUGAAUUCAUUGUCUUGGACAUCCCAGUAACUUUCACAUUAUUACUGGGUAGGCUAUGGUUUCAUGCCUUAGGAGGAGUGAAUUCCACUAUAGAUUAGAAGGUCAAAUUCCCUCAUGAAGGCAAAAUAGUGACUAUUAAUGUCGAAGGUGGUAAGAUUUUCUCAGCUAUCCAGGAAGCUGCAUAGGAGCUGGAAGCCCUUACUAGAUCUCUAUGAGGAUUAUAUGGAUCCUAAAGUAGCCAAAAUAUUCAGAAAGGUGGAUUUUAUGCCUAUAAUGGGGCUGGGGCAGACUCAACAGGCUAUUACAAAGCUGCUAGAUUUUAAGGGUUAGAAAACUCAGCCUGGGUUGGGUUAUCAUAAGGAUGAAGAUGAGGGCAAAUCAAAAGGUAAAACUCUAAAAGAUAUAUUUUUACAAGAGUACAAAACUUACUCUAGGGAGCCUGAACUUAUUACCAUAGAUGGGAUUGAGGUGCCAAAAUUCAAGAUAUUCAAGAGCAUGAUCAUCGACAGGAUAGUCAAGUUGAGCAUCAAGGAGGUCCGUGAGAAGAUCACCAUCAAGGUUGAAGAGUUAAAGUUGGAAGAAUUCACCGCUCCAUUUGAGAAGCUAGACCCGCAAGAGCUAGCUGCCCUAAUAGAAGGGCCAAUUAUUGAUAUAUUUUAGGAUGAUGUAAUAAUUACAAUCUCUAUAAGGAUGAUGUUUCUUUCAAAGAUCAAUGAUAUGAACAAUAAUUUUGCUUACUUUGCGAUGUUUUUCCUGAUGGUAGUGCACAUUUUUAUAAUCAUGACAUGUGCAUAUUUGACAUUAAUUCCAUACAAAUUGACUCAUUUAAUUUAGACACAAGUGAUAAUCACAAGGAUUGGUCAUUUUGAUUAUCCUUUGCACUUUGCGGAUAUCGAACGACUAAAUGAUUAUCGACUGGGCAGACUUCAUACUUUUUAGUUUAUAGGACUGAAGCCGUCCUGCUAGUUGAGUUGGAUUGAAGUCUUUAAGAGUUAUGCUGGAGGCAAAAAUACAUGAGUACCAAUAGGCUGAAUGGAGAUAACAACAGCUGGCUCUAGUUGAUGAAAGAAGGAUGAAAGCCUUAUAUCAUAUGCAAUUAUACCAAGAAUGGAUAACCAGGUUAUUUAAUAAGAAAGUGAAGAUAGGAAAGAUCAGAGUUGGGGAUUUGGUGUUAACACAUAAAAGACCUACUUUGUCCAAUCCAAGAGGGGAAGUUCAAGCCUAAUUAGGAAGGCCUAUACUUAAUGAAGAAAUUUUGCCUAAAGGUGCCGCUAAGAUCUCAGAUUUGGAAGGAAACGAGUUCUCUGAGCCAAUCAACUUGGAUUGUCUCAAGAAAUACUAUGUGUAAAAAAGUAAAAUAUAAUAGAAAAGAUAGCUUGUUGAUCAGAAGAUCCAAAAGGGCUAGUCAAGCAAAAAUUAGGGCAAUGAGAAAAAAUAAUCAGUUAGAAAAUCAAAAUAUACCCAUUUGGGCCUUCAUUAAAUAAAUAAAAUUAUUUGGGAUUUUUAUCAAGCAUGUAUAUGUUUGUUUAUUAUCUUGCGCACUAACUGAAAAGGAGAACUAAGCUAAAGUACUAAGCAAAAUGAAUGAGAUCUAAAAAGAAACAUAUUUAUCAUUUUCUUCUAUUUGCUUUUGCAUCCACAUCUUUAGAAUCUAUAGCUAGCUCUCGGGUCCUCUUGAACCUUGCAAAUCUAGGGGAAGUAGUAAUUUGAAGCUCGACCCAAGACUUGUAAUUAUCAUAUAUGAUUAGAUCACUUUCGAAGUCAAGAUUCCGCUUUAUGUCUCGGCGAGGCGAGAGUCUCUCUAUCUUGUCUAGGAAAUCCUGUCCGAAUGGGAAGCCUUCAAAUUUAGGUGGGAAUUCCAAGAUCCGUUAUUUCUGCCUGUACUGAAGACAAAGCCUUUAAGGGUGUGUAGAAAGUGGAUGCCCAUAAUCCAAGUCAAGACACACAGUCAUCGUAUUCCUUAAGUGUAACGUGCUUGAUUUUCCAUCAGGGAUAGGACCAGCGGCUAAAUGUAUUUGGGAUGCCCUUCAUCCAAGAAAUCCAACCAUCAUGGCCCUACGGGAUAAAUAUUGAUCGAACUUACAUGUGUUUUGACUUGUAUUUAUCAACAUUCCUCGGAAUGGUUAGUAUUUGGAGCUUUUCACGCAAGUAAAUAUGCAAAAGAAAAAGGGAGAAAAAGAGAAAAAGAAAAAAAAGCUAAGUUGAAAAUCCGAAAGGCGGCUUAGGAAAAAAUAGAGUCUGCUAAGCUAAAAACCUAAAAGGGUGGCUUAGGCAAAAGUUAAGCCAAAAGCCUGCUAAGUGGAGAACUUGAAAGUGCGUCUUACGCAAAAGUUAAGGCAAAAAUAAAUGAGGAGAAAAAGAUUUUUGUAUACUUGUAAGAGAAUGAGGUUGUCUCCAAACCGUUGGUGGGUUUUGUACAUGUUUAACCGAAUGAUGGUUUUAGCCAAAAUGAUAGGUAUAAAACUUGCUCCAUAAUCCACUUGAUCUAUGAUACCAGUAAUCCUAAUGUCUCCCCCUCCCUGAGGUGUGCAAUCAGUAAAAAUUGGGCAUAAAGAUAAAAGCCCAGCAUCCGAAUCCAAGCAGGUGUUCCAUUUUCUUUCUUCUCACAACAAAAGAUUAAAGAAGUAAAGGUAAUAUGUUCACCAAUAGAAUGGGAAAGAAUCUCAGUUGAGGACAUGUCAAAUAGCUCCACCAAUUUAUCGAGAAAGGGAUCAUCAAGCUUUGGUAAAGCAAUCAAAUAGGAGGAAUCCAUAGGGCCUCCAAGAAUGGUGGAGAACUCUUCAAUUAUGGGGGCACAAAUCUUGCUCAUUGAACCUAAAGACAUGGUCUCUUAGACACUAAAAGUUGAUGGUAGAAUCGAAACCUAUAUUCAAGCUUGGUGUCUUGCAUGGCUUUGAAAGAUGAAAGAUGAAAUUUUCCAAGUUUGAUCCAAUAAGGUUUUGAGAAGGGUUUGUAGGCUUUUGGCACUUUUUUGGGACAUGUUUUUUGGCUUUUGGAUGAAGAAUCACAUAUGGUGAAGUGUGAGGGGUGCAUGUAUACUUAUAGGCUCAAAAUUAAUGUUUUAUUCAGACUCUGUGACUUUAGAGCCAAAUUGGCUGAUCAUACAGCCGAUCAACGUUACCACAAAGACUUUCAGCUUUUCGGAGGACUUUUCAGUAUUUUCUUGCCUAAUCAUAUAUACACCCAAAAUAGACAACAUUAAGGAGAAAUAAUGACAAUGCAUGUGCCGGAAGCGCAAAAUUUUAUUAAUCAAAAGUCGAGUUUUACAAGCAAUGGAAAAAAGGGAAAGUACAAGUAGUAAUAAAAGAAUCAAAAGCUGGGGUUCUCUCCCGAAUUCCCCAUCUCAUUAUCUGACUCAGUGUCCAUCUCUUAUGUCCACAAGGUAGAUAGCUGAAGUGUCAGAGUGUCGAUCAAACAUUACUGAGUGUCAAUUUGACGUUGUCAGUUGUCCACCUGCCCUUGUAAGUUCUCGUGGUCCCUUUGUUGAAAACCUAAAAGAAAAUUAGUUAGUGAAUUUUAUACAUGCAUACAUGCAUAAAUUUUACAUUGCAUAAAUCAUUUCUUACUCGCCAGUCCUCACCGAGGAUGAAGAAUUGCCUCAUCGCAACGUCGACCAAUCAAUGAACAUACUCGAACUGGUCUCUCUAACCCUGUAUGGUUAUUUGCAUCAUAUGUCACUAAAUUUUCAAGAAAGGAGACGUGAAAACACAAAGGAGAAUGUUAUUUACAUGCAUGCAAGUGCUCAGAGUGAACUUUGGAGAAAGACAAUGCUCCAUAGCAAGUCGGUGCUCCAUCACACCAUGGGGACUCAAGUAUGAGACCAUAAGAUCUGGAGGGAAUGUGACGCUCCCUAGAACUACAUUAGACAUGGUUGUAGAAGGUGCCUUAGAAGCAACACCAACAAAGGAGCUUGAAAUAUAGGAGAGCCUAGAGCGUCGAGCAAAUCGCCCCUCGGUCGGCUCAGGAGCAGCUAGGGCAUGGUGGAUGAACUGUAAACAAAAUAGUUAGAAAAGUAGAAUAUUAAAGAUGAAGAAUUCGAAGUAGAUAAAAAAAAGUACCUGAGCCAUAAUGUCAUCAUCAAAAGGCACAGUCCCUAGCAACUGAGGAAUAAAGGAGGCAUAAUCCAUCCACCUAGACCGGAUGGUGAGAUCCUCAGGCUCGUCAUACCCUGCCAAACAUUUCGUUAGUUCCUUCUUAGCGAGAUCCAUUAUCGAGAACAUAGAGAGAGGUGGAGGUAAGGGAACUCAGCGUCUAGUAGGGCCUCGCUCCCACCCAUAGAUCCUCUCGCCUAAGUACUAUGCCCGACAGGUAGGUCCGACUAGUAGAAUCCUCCUCUACUCAAAGUCAGCUGCAAAAAGCAUGUAAGGGUCCUAAUGACGGUGCUCCCCUAGCCAAUCAUCCCAAAUUUGUAAACUUGAAAGGUCAGAGAGUUGAUCCACAUGCGGUGCAUGCGAAUCUACACCCAUUCCAAUGGGACACUCCUACUCAAGGCCCAACGACUCGAGCAAGGGAAAGCCUGCGAGGUGCAGAUGGCUGUGAGCCCACUAGAAGGCCCGUCGCUAGGAUCCAAACCUGCAAAACAAGAAUCAACAUUUGAAUACUAAUAAAAGAAAUAAAAAUAAUAAAGUUAGAGCAUAACUUACAUGGAUCGUAUGCCAGAAGCUGCAGAUCCACUUACUACUAUCUUGGACAAUAAUGUCCAUCUGAUGAUACAAUAUGCGCUAGCUGUAGACCCUUAAUUGUAGGAGGAGACAUGGUCCAAAUCUCACAACGAAGCUAAAUAGUGGAAGUUCAGUGAAUUUCUCGGGUCAUUGAUCAAAGUUGUACCAAAAAGAUAUACUAGAAAGGCUUGGGCCAUCUGAUCCACCUCCCGAGUAUUCCGAGGCACAAAGCCCUAGUAGUGGAGAGGUAUGCUCUGGUAAGCGAUACAACAGGGUUCUUGCACACUGGCAAGAACCCAAGUAAAUCAAUAAUGAAGUGCUCUUGGACAUCGGAGCACUGAUCAUGGAUCGCAUCAUCAAAUGGCAUGAGCAUGUUAGUGAAAUCAACGCCUAACAAAUGCGAGAGGGGAGAGAGUUAACUUGCCGACCGAGGUAUGGAAAGUCUGAGUGAUAUCCAUCCACCUCUCGAGCAAAGCAUAAACGGAGGUAUGGUCCAUCCUCCAAGUAACUAAUGGAAGCGUGGCAGCGAAGCCAGUGUCACUAAUCCUAGCCUAAACCGGGCUUAGGAGUUCGUGAACCACUCACGAGUAUCGUAGAAGUUUCUAGAGAACCAGAUCGACAAAACGUCACUCUGAAAAGCACAAGCACAAGUACAUAAACACGUUGCAAACCAUGUAAGGCCUCAAACAAGUAAGUAUUACAUAAAUUUAUUGAUAUUUUAUGCUAAAACCCUAAAGAUCUUUUCUCAUACUCACAAAUAUACCCCUUUUACAGGGUUUUUUUCUAAUAUUUACAAAUAUACCUCUCUUACGGUUUGUACUCUAAUAUUGAUUAGAUAUACCACUUCUACCGGGUUAUUUUUUCACACUCACUAAUAUACCCCUCUUUCGAGGUUGUUUUCUAAUAUUUACAAAUAUACUCCUCUUAAGUGGUUGUUUUCUUGUAUUAAAAUAUAUACCCCUCUUACAGGAUUUAUUUCUGAUACUCACAAAUAUACCCUUUUACAGGGUUGUGUUGUUUUAUCAUAUUAAAAAAUAUACCCAUUUUAUAAGGUUGUUUUCUUAUACUCAUAAAUAUACCUCACUUAUAGGGUUGUUUUCUUAUAUUAACAAAUACUCCCCUUAUACAGGAUUAUUUUCUCAUACUCACAAAUAUACUAUUCUUACCGAAUUAUUCUCUAAUAAUUACAAAUAUACCCCUCUUAAAGAGUUGUUUUUUUUUAUAUUGAAAAAUAUACUCCUUUUACGGAGCUGUUUUCUAAUAUUCAUAAAUAUACCUUUCUAAUGGGGUUGUUUUCUCAUAUUUAUAAAUAUACUCCUUUUCUGGGAUUAUUCUUUUAUAUUAAAAAAUAUAUCCCACUUACGGGGUUGCUUUCUCGUACUUACAAAUAUACCCCUUACAGGGUUAUUCUCUCACAUUCACAACUAUAUAUUUUUUAUAGGUUUUUUUUCUCACUCACAAACAUACCCCUCUUACGAGAUUAUUUUCUCAUAUUCAUAAAUAUAUCCCUUUUACAGGGUUGUUUUCUAAUUCUCACAAAUAUACCCCUUUAUCGGGGUUAUUUUCUAAUAUUUACAAAUAUACCCCUCUUAUGGGGUUGUUUUCUCAUAUUGAUAAAUAUAUCUCUUUUACGGUAUUGUUUUCACAUACUCACAAUUAUACCUCUCUUACAUGAUUGUUUUAUAAUAUUUAUAAAUAUACCCCUCUUACGCGAUUGUUUUCUCAUAUGAAAAAAUAUAGCCUUUUCACGGGGUUGUUUUCUUAUACUCAUAAAUAUACCUCUUUUACGGGGUUGUUUUCUAAUAUCUACAAAUAUACUACUCUGACGGGUUAUUUUCUCACAUUAAAAGAUAUACUCCUUUUACGAGGUUGUUUUCAUAUUCAUAAAUAUACAUCUUUUACGGGGCUGUUUUCUCAUACUCACAAAAUAUACUUCUGUUACGGGAUUGUUUCCUCAUAUUCAUUAAUAUUCCUCUUUUAUGGGAUUUUCUCAUGCUCACAAAUAUACUCUACUUACAAGGUUGCUUUCUUAUAUUGACAAAUAUGCCCCUUCUCAGGGUUGUUUUCUCAUAUUCAUGAAUAUAUCACUUUUACAGUUUAUCUUUUCAUACUCACAAACAUACACCACUUACAGGAUUGUUUUCUUAUAUUAAUAAAUACACCCUUUUAACGGCUUGUUUUCUAAUAUUUACAAAUAUACCCCUCUUACGAGAUUGUUUUCUCAUAUUAAAAAAUAUAUCCAUGUUACGGGUUGUUUUCUCAUACUCAUAAAUAUACCCCACUUACAAGGUUGUUUUCUUAUAUUGAAAGAUAUACCCUUUUUAUGGGGUAGUUUUCUCAUACUCACAAAUAUACCUCUCUUAUAGGAUUGUUAUCUCAUGUCUUUUACGAGGAUGUUUUCUUAUAGUCACAAAUAUACCUCUCUUACGGGGUUGUUUUCUCAUAUUAAAAAACACACCACUUUUAUGGUGUUGCUUUCUCACACUUACGAAUAUACGCCUCUUAGGGGGUUGUUCUCUAAUAUGUACAAAUAUAUUACUCUAACAAGAUUGUUUAUUCAUAUUAAUAAAUAUAUCCUUCUUACGAUGUUGUUUUCUCAUAUUUAUAAAUAUAACCUUUUUAUGGGGUUGUUAUCUUAUACUCAUAAAUAUACCCCUCUUACAGGAUUGUUUUCUAAUAUUUAUAAAUAUACCCCUCUUACUGGGUUGUUUUCUAAUAUUGAAAGAUAUACAACUUUUUUGUGUUUGUUUUCUCAUACUUGAAAAUAUAACCCUCUUACUGGGUUGUUUUCUAAUAUUUACAAAUAUACUCCUCUUACGGGGUUGUUUUAUCAAAAUAAAAAAUAUUUUCCUUUUACGAGGUUGCUUUCUCAUACUCACAAAUGUACCCUUCGUUUGGGAUGUUUUCUCAUAUUUACAAAUAUACACCUUUUACGACGUUCUUUUCUCAUUCUUACAAAUAUAUCUCUUUCACGGUGUUGUUUCUAAUAUUUACAAAUAUACCCCUCUUACGGGCUUGAUUCUCAUCUUCAUAAAUAUAUCACUUUUAAGGAGUUAUUUUCUCAUACUCACAAAUACACCCCACUUAGAGGGUUGUUUUGUUAUAUUGACAAAUAUAUCCCUUUUACAGGUUAUUUUCUCAUAUUAAUGAAUAUACCAUAUUUAUGGGUUAUUUUUUCAUACUCGCAAAUAUAAUCCACUUAUGGGGUUAUUUUCUUAUAUUGACAAAUAUACCCUUUUAAGGGGUUAUUUCCUAAUAUUUAUAAAUAACCCCACUUACGGGGUUGUUUUAUCAUAUUAAAAGAUAUACCACUUUUAUGAUGUUGUUUUCUCAUUCUUACAAAUAUACCACUCUUGCCGACUUAUUUUCUAAUAUUUAGAAAUAUACCCCUCUUAUGGGGUUGUUUUGUCAUAUUAAAAAUAUACGCCUUUUGUGGGAUUAUUUUUUCAUACUUACAAAUAUACCCAACUUACUCGAUUAUUUUCUUAUAUUAACAAAUAUAUCCUUUUUAUAGGGUACUUUUCUUAUACUAAAAAAUAUACCUCACUUACGAGGUUGUUAUCUCAUAUUAAGAAAUAUAACCUUUUUACAGUGUUGUUUUUUCAUAGUCACAAAUAUACCCCUCUUAUGAGUUUUCUUUUGCAUAUUAAAAAAUAUAAUCCUUUUAGGAGGUUGCUAUCUUAUUCUUACAAAUAUACUCCUCUUACGAGGUUGUUUUCUAAUAUGUACAAAUAUACCGCUCUAACGUGGUUGUUUUCUCAUAUUAAAAGAUAUACUCCUUUUACGGGGUUGUUUUCUCAUGCUCAUAAACCUCUUGCGGGGUUGUUUUCUAAUAUUUACUAAUUUACUCCUCUUACUAGGUUGUUUUUUUCAUAUUGAAAAAUAUACCACUUUUACGGGAUUAUUUACUCAUGCUCACAAAUAUACCCCUCUAACACAAUUCUUUUCUCAUAUUCAUAAAUCCACUCUUUUUGGGAGGUUGUUUUCUCACACUCAUAAAUACACCCAACUCACGGGUUGUUCUCUUAUAUUAAUAAGUAUUACGAGGUUGUUUUAUCAUACUAAAAAAAUACCCCUUUUNNNNNNNNNNNNNNNNNNNNNNNNNNNNNNNNNNNNNNNNNNNNNNNNNNNNNNNNNNNNNNNNNNNNNNNNNNNNNNNNNNNNNNNNNNNNNNNNNNNNNNNNNNNNNNNNAAAUGUACCCCUAGUACAAGGUUGUUUUCUCAUAUUUAUAAAUAUACACCUUUUAUGGCGUUCUUUUCUCAUACUCAUAAAUGCACCUAUUUUACAGAGUUGUUUUCUAAUGUUUAAAAAUAUAUCUCUCUUACGGGUUUGUUUUCUUAUAUUAAAAAAUAUACCCCUUUUACAGGUUGCUUUUCUCAUGCUCACAAACAUACCCCUCGUACGGGUUUUUUUUUUCAUAUUCAUAAAUAUAUCCCUUUUUUACGGGGUUGUUUUCUCAUAUUAGAAAAUAUACCUUCUUUACAGGAUUCUAUUUUUAUAUUGACAAAUAUACCCUUUUUACGUGUUAGUGUUCUCAUACUCAUAAAAUAUACCCCUCUUACGGGGUUGUUAUCUAAUGUUUACAAAUUUACCCCCUAUUACGGGAUUGUUUUCUCAUAUUAAAAAAUAAUCAUUUUUACUGGGAUGCUUUCUCAUAUACCCCUCGUACGAGAUUAUUUCAUAUAUUCAUAAGUAUAACCUUUUUACGGGGUUGUUUUCUCUUACUCAUAAAUAUACCCCUCUUACUGGAUUGUUUAUGAUAUUUACAAAUGUAUUCCUCUUAUAGGGUUGAUUCUCAUAUUCAUAAAUACAUUACGAAGUUUUUUUCAUACUUACAAAUAUACCCCACUUAUGGGGUUGUUUUCUUAUAAAGAAAAUUAUACCCAUUUAAGAGGUUGCUUUCUCAUACUAGAAAAUAUACCCCUCUUACGGGGUUGAUGCUCACAUUCAUAAAUAUAUUAUUUUUAUUGGGUGAUUUUCUCAUACUCACAAAUAUAUCUAUCUUACGGUGUUGUUUUCUAAUAUUAACAAAUAUACUCCAUCUAUGGGGUGCUUUUCUUGUAUUGUCAAAUGUACCCCUUUUACUAGGCUGUUUUCUCAUAUUCAUAAAUAUAUCUCUUUUAAGUGGUUGAAUUCUCAUAUUUAUAAAUAUACUCCUUUUACGAAGUUAUUUUCUCAUACUUAAAAAUAUACCGCACUUACGGGGUUAUUUUCUUGUAUUGACAAAUAUAUCCCUGUUACGGGGUUGUUCUCUCAUACGCACAAAUAUACCUCUCUUACAAGGUUGUUUUCUAAAAUUUAUAAAUAUACCCUUCUUACGAAGUUGUUUUUCUAUAUUAAUAAAUAAACCCUUUUUAUGGGGUUCUUUUCUCAUACUGACAAAUAUAGCCUUCUUGCAAGAUUGGUUUCUUAUAUUGAUAAAAUAUACCCCUUUUACGAGGUUGUUUUCUAAUAUUCACAAAUAUACCCUAUUUACGAGGUUGCUUUCUCAUACUAAAAAAUAUACCCCUUGUUCGAGGUUGUCUUCUCAUAUUCAUAAAUAUACCACUUUUAUAGGAUUAUUUUCUCAUACUCACAAAUACACCCCUUUUACGGGGUUGUUAUCUUAUAUUAACAAAUAUACCCCUCUUACGAGGCUUAUUUCUCAUAUUCAUAAAUAUGCCCCUUUUAUGGAGUUGCUUUAUAAUAUUUAAAAAUACACCCCUUUUACAGGGUUGUUUUCUUAUAUUAAAAAAUUCACUCCUUGUAUGAGAUUUAUUUUAUAGUGACAAAUAUAUCCCUCUUACAGGUUUUUUCUAAUAAUUACAAAUUUACCCUUCUUACAGGGUUUUUCUCAUAAUUACAAAUAUACCCCUCUUAUAGGGUUGUUUUCUCAUGUUAAAAGAAUAUACCCCUUUUAUGAGGUUGCUUUCUUAUACUCACAUAUAUACUCCACUUACGGGGUUGUUUUAUUAUAUAAACAAAUGUACCCUUUCUAUGAGAUUCUUUUCUCAUAUUCACAAAUAUACCCAUCAUACAAGGUUAUUUUUUCAUAUUCAUAAAUAUACCGCUUUUACAGGGUUGUUUCUCAUAAUCAGAAAUAUAUCGUUCUUACAGGGUUGUUUUCUCAUAUUAAAAAAUAUACCCCUAUUUACGGGUUGCUUUUUCAUACUGACAAAUGUACUCCACUUACGGGGUUGCUUUCUCAUAUUGACAAAUGUACUCCACUUACGGGGCUAUUUUCUUGUAGUGUCAAAUAGACCCUUUUUACAGGGUUAUUUUCUCAUAUUGACAAAUAUACCCUAUUACGGGGUUGAUUUCUCAUAUUCAUAAAUAUAUCCCUUUUACGAGGUUGUUUUCUCAUACUCAAAAGUAUACCCCUCAUGCGGGAUUGUGUUGACAUAUUCAUAAAUAUAACCCUUUUAUAGGGUGGUUUUCUUAAACUGACAUAUACACCCCUCUUAUGGGAAUGUUUUUAUAAUAUUUAGAGAUAUAACACUCUUAAAUGGUUGGUUCCUUAAACUCAUAAAUAUACCUCCACUUACAAGGUUGUUUUCUUAUAUUGAUAAGUAUUCUCUUUUACGGGUUUGUUUUCUCAUACUCACAAUUUACAGGGUUGUUUUUUAAUAUUUAUAAAUACACCCUUCUUACGUGGUUGUUUUUUCAUAUUAAUAACUAUACCGUUUUUACGAGGUUGUUUUUUCAUACUCACAAAUAUACCCCUCUUACGGGGUUUAUUUCGUAAAUAUACCCCUUUUAUGUAGUUAUCUUCUUAUACUAAAAAAUACACCAUUUUAUGGGGUUGUUUUCUUAUAUUAACAAAUAUACCCCUUUUACGGGGUUAUUUUCUCAUACUCACAGAUGUACCCCUCUUACUGAGUUGUUUCCUUAUAUUGAUAAAAUAUACUCCUUUUACGAGGGUGUUUUCUCAUAUUCACAAAUAUACCCCUCUUAUGGGGUCUAUUUCUCAUAUUCAUAACUAUACCCCGUCUAUAGAGUUGUUUUCUCAUACUAAAAAAUACACUCCUUUUACGAGGUUAUUUUCUUAUAUUAAAAAGUACACCCAAUUUACGAGGUUGCUUUCUCAUAAAUAUACCAUUCGUAUGGGGUUAUUUUCUCAAACUAGAAAUAUACCCCUAUUACGGGGUUGUUUUCUAGGAUUUACAAAUAUACAUAAAUAUAUUGUUUUCUAGGAUUUACAAAUAUACAUAAAUAUACCCUUUUAUGAGGUAGUUUCUCAUACUCAUAAAUAUACCCCUAACUUACAGGGUUGUUUUCUUAUAUCGACAAUUAUUUCCCCUUUAUAGGGUUUCUUUCCCAUACUAACAGAUAUACCCCUCUUAUGGGGUUGUUUUAUAGUAUUUAAAAAUAUACCUCUCUUACAGGAUUGUUUUCUCAUAUUAAAAAAAUACCGUUUUUUUCGUUGUUGCUUUCUCAUAUUAAAAAAAUACCAUUUUUUUCGUUGUUGCUUUCUCAUACUCACAAUUAUAUCCCUCGUAUAGGGUUAUUCUCUCAUACUCACAAAUACCCUCUUACGGGUUUGUUAUUCUCAUGCUCAUAAGUAUAUCCAUCAUACGUGUUUGUUUUCACAUAUUCAUAAAUAUAACACUUUUAUAAGAUGAUCUUCUCAUAUUAACAAAUAUGCCCCUCUUAUGGGGUAAUUUUCUAAUAUUUACAGACAUAACUCUCUUACAAGGUUGUUUUCUCGUACUCACAAAUAUACCCCUCUUACGGGGUUGUUUUCUAAUAUUUAUGAAUAUCCCCCCUCUUACGAAAUUGUUUUCUCAUUUUAAAAAAUAUACACCUUUCACAGGGUUAUUUUCUCACACUCAUAAAUAUACCCCAUUUACAGUGUUGUUUUCUUAUAUUGAUAAAUAUACCUAUUUUAUUAAGUUGUUUUCUCAUAAUAACAGCCCCUCUUAUGGGGUUGAUAUCCCAUAUUCAUAAAUAUAUCCUGAGUUAUAGUGUUGUGUUAUCACACUCACAUAUAUACCCCAUCUUACGGGGUUGUUUUCUUAUAUUGACAAAUAUUACUCUUCUAUAGGGUCGUUUUUUCAUACUCACGAAUAUACCACACUUACGGAGUUAUUUUCUAAUAUUCACAAAUAUACCUCUCUUACUACGUUGAUUUCUUAUAUUCAUAAAUAUACCCCAUGUUAUGGUGUUGUUUUCCCAUACUCAUAAAUAUACCCCUUUUCAAGGUUGUUUACUCAUAUUUAUAAAUAUACCAUUUUUAUGGGGUUGUUUUCUCAUACUCACAAAUAAAUCCCUCUUACAGAAUUAUUUUCUAAUAUUUAUAAAUAUACCAUCCUUACUGUGUUGUUUUCUCAUAUUCAUAAAUAUACCCCUUUUACGCAGUUGUUUUUUCAUAUUGAUAAAUAUACCCCACUUAUGGGUCUGUGUUCUAAUAUUUACAAAUCUGCCACUCUUGCGGGGUUGUUUUCUUAUAUUAAAAGCUAUACUCCUUUUACUGAGUUAUUUCUUCAUACUCACAAAUAUGCCACACUUAGGGGGUUGUUUUUUUAUAUUCACAAAUAUAUUGCUUUUAUGAGGUUGUUUUCUCAUAUUAAAUAUAGCCCUCUUACAGGAUUAUUUUCUCAUACUCACAAAUAUACCCCUCUUACGUGAUUGUUUUCUUAUAUUGAUAAAUAUACUCCUUUUACAGUGUUGUUUUCUCAUACUCAUAUAUAUAUUCCUCUUACGAGAUUAUUUUGUAAUAUUUAUAAAUACACCCCUCUACGGGUUUGUUUUCUCAUAUUAAAAAAUACACCAUAUUAUAGGAUUUUUUUCUCAUAGUCACAAAUAUACCAGUCGUACGUGGUUGUUUUCUCAUACUCACAAAUAUAUAAAUUUUAUGGGGUUAUUAUCCAGUAUUUAUAAAUAUGCCCCUCUUACGGGGGUUCAUACUCACAAAUAUACCUCGCUUACGGGGUUGUUUACUUAUGUCAAUAAAUAUACCCGUUUUACGAGAUUAUUUUCUCAUACUCACAAAUAUACCCCUCUUACAGGAUUUUUUUCUCAUACUUACAGAUAUACCCCACGUAUAGGGUUNNNCGUAUAGGGUUGUUUUCUAAUAUUUAUAAAUAUACCCAUCUGACGGGGUUGUUUUCUCAUUUUAAAAAAUUCACCCCUUAUACGAGUUUACUUUCUCAUACUCACAAGUAUACUCCUCUUACGGGGUAGUUUUCUCGUACUCAUAAAUAUACCCCUCUUACGGGGUUGUGUUCUAAUAUUUAUGAAUAUCCCCCCUUUUAGGAUUUUUUUUAUACUUACAAAUAUACAGCACUUACGGUGUUGUUUUCUUAUAUUGAUAAAUAUGCCCCUUUUAUGGGGUUGUUUUCUCAUAAUAACAAAAAUACCCCUCUUACUGGCUUGAUUUUCCAUAUUCAUAAAUAUAUCAUUGUUACAAUGUUCUCUUAUUACACUCACAAAUAUACCCCACUUACGGGGUUUUUUUUAUAUUGUCAAAUAUUUUUCUUUUAUGGGGUUGUUUCCUCAUACUCAUUAGUAUACCCCUCUUACGAGAUUUUUUGUUAUAUUGACAUAUAUUUUUCUUUUACGCGGUUGUUUUUUCAAAUUCAUAAAUAUACCUUUUUUUAGAAGAUUGUUUACUCAUACUCACAAAUAAAACCCAUUUUACGGAGUUAUUUUCUAAUAUUUACAUUUAUACCCCUUUCGGGGUUGUUUUCUCAUAUUCACAAAUAUACCCUUUUAUGCUGUUGUUUUUUCAUACUCAUAAAUAUACACCCCAUACAGAGUUAUUUUCUUAUAUUGAUAAAUAUAGCCUUUUUCAAGGGAUUGUUUUCUUAUACUCACAAAUAUACCCCUCUUACAUGGAUGUUUUCUAAUGACAAAUAUAUCUCUUUUACGGUGUACUCACAUAUAUACUCCUCUUACGAGGUUUUUUGUAAUAUUUACAAACAUACUCCUUUUACGGGCUUGUUUUCUCAUAUUAAAAAAUACACCCCUAUUAUGGGGUUGGUUUCUCAUAUUCACAGAUAUACCUAUCGUGCGGGGUUAUAUUCUCAUACUCACAAAUAUACACCUUUUAUGGGAUUAUUUUCUAGUAUUUACAAAUAUACCCCUCUUACAGGGCCUUUUUUAUUAUUUUUGUAAAUAUACCUAUUUUACGGGGUUGCUUUUUCAUACUUACAAAUAUACUCCACUUACGGGGUUGUUCUCUUUUAUUAACAAAUAUACUCCUUUUAUGAGGUUGUUUUGUCAUACUCACAAAUAUACUCCUCUUACAGGGUUGUUUUCCAGUAUUUAUAAAUAUACCCAUCUUACGGGGUUCUUUACUCAUACUCACAGAUAUACCCCUCAUACGGGGUUGUUUUUAAACAUUUACAAAUAUACACCUCCUAUGGGGUUGUUUUCUCAUUUUAAAAAAUUCACCCCUUAUACGAAUUUACUUUCUCAUACUCGUAAGUAUACCUCUUACGGGGUUCUUUUCUUGUACUCACAAAUAUACCCCUCUGACGGGGUUGUGUUCUAAUUGUUACAAAUAUUUUUCUUUUACGGGAUUAUUUUCUCAUUUUAAAAGAUAUACAACUUCUACGGGUUGUUUUUCACACUCACAAAUAUGCUCAAGUUACGAUGUUGUUUCUUAUAUUGACAAAUAUAUCCAUUUUACAGGGUUGUUUUGUCAUAAUAAUAAAUAUAUUCGUCUUACAGAGUUGAUUUCUCAUAUUCAUAAAUAUAACUCGUAUUACAGGGUGGUGUUCUCACACUCACAAAUAUACCCCAUUUACGGGGUUGGUUUCUUGUAUUGACAAAUAUUCUCCUUUUAUAGAGUUGUUUUCUCAUACACACAAAUAUACCCUUCUUAAGGGAUUAUUUCUUAUAUUGACAAAUAUUCCCCUUUUAUGGAGUUGUUUUCUCAUACUCACAAAUAUACCACUUUUAUGGGGUUGUUUUCUCAUAUUCAUAAAUAUACCCCUUUUUACGGGAUUGCUAUCUUACACUCAUAAAUAAACCCCUUUUACGUAGUUGUAUUCUAAUAUUUACAAAUAUAACCCUUUACAGGAUUAUUUUCUCAUACUCACAAAUAUACCCCUCUUACGUGAAUGUUUUCUUAUGACAAAUAUACAUCUUUUACGAUGUACUCACAUAUAUACUCCGCUUACGAGAAUUUUUAUAAUAUUUACAAAUAUACCCCUCUUACAAGCUUAUUUUCUCAUAUUAAAAAAUACAUCCUUAUUAUGGGGUUGCUUUCUCAUAUUCAUAAAUAUACCCGUCGUACGGGGUUGUUUUCUCAUACUCACAAAUAUACACAUGUUACGUGAUUAUUUUAUAGUAUUUACAAAUAUACCCCUCUUACAGGGUCUUUUUUAUAAUUUUUAUAAAUAUACCGCUUUUAGGGGGUUGCUUUUUCAUACUUACAAAUAUACACAUGUUACGUGAUUAUUUUUUUUAGUAUUUACAAAUAUACCCCACUUACGGGGUUGUUCUCUUAUAUUAACAAAUAUACUUCUUUUACGAGGUUAUUUUGUCAUACUGACAAAUAUACUCCCCUUACAGGGUUAUUUUCUAGUAUUUAUAAAUAUACCCAUCUUACGGGGUUCUUUUCUCAUACUCAUGGAUAUACCCCUCAUACGGGGUUGUUUUCUAACAUUUACAAAUAUACACCUCCUACAGGGUUGUUUUCUCAUUUUAAAAAAUUCACCCCUUGUACGAAUUUACUUUCUCAUACUCAUAAGUAUACCUCUUACGGGGUUGUUUUCUUGUACUCACAAAUAUACCCCUCUGAUGGGGUUGUAUUCUAUUUGUUACGAAAAUUCUCCUCUUACGGGAUUGCUUUCUCAUUUUAAAAAAUAUAUAUCUUCUACGGGGUUAUUUUUUCACACUCACAAAUAUACUCCAGUUACAGUGUUGUUUCUUAUAUUAAUAAAUAUACCCAUUUUACAGGGUUGUUUUAUCAUAAUAACAAAUAUACUCGUCUUACGGGGUUAAUUUCUCAUAUUUAUAAAUAUAACGUGUGUUACAGGGUGGUGUUCUCACACUCACAAAUAUACCCCAUUUAUGGGGUUGUUUUCUUAUAUUGAUAAAUAUUCUCCUUUUAUGGGGUUAUUUUCUCAUAUACAUAAAUAUAUCCCUCUUAAGGGAUUGUUUCUUAUAUUUACAAAUAUUCCUCUUUUAUAGGGUUGUUUUCUCAUACUCACAAAUAUACCACUCUUAUGGGGUUGUUUUCUCAUAUUCAUAAAUAUACCCCUUUUAUGGGAUUGCUUUCUCACACUCACAAAUAAACCCCUUUUACGUAGUCAUAUUCCAAUAUAUACACAUAUAACCCUUUACAGGAUUAUUUUCUCAUAUUCACAAAUAUACCCCUGUUACGUGGAUAUUUUCUUAUGACAAAUAUACAUCUUUUAUAGGGUACUCAUAUAUAUACUCCUCUUAUGAGAUCUUUUAUAAUAUUUAUAAAUAUACCCUUCUUACGGGCUUAUUUUCUCAUAUUAAAAAAUACACCCCUAUUAUGGGUUUACUUUCUCAUAUUCACAAAUACACCCAUCGUACGGGGUUCUUUUCUUAUACUCACAAAUUUACACCUUUUAUGUGAUUAUUUUCUAGUAUUUACAAAUAUACCCCUCUUAUGGGGUCUUCUUUAUCAUUUUUAUAAAUAUACCGCUUUACGGGGUUGCUUUUUUAUACUCACAAAUAUACCCCAUUAGGUUGUUAUCUUAUAUUAACAAAUAUACUCCUUUUAUGGGGUUGUUUUCUCAUAGUGACAAAUAUACUCCUCUUACAGGAUUGCUUUCUAAUAUUUAUAAAUAUACCCAUCUUACGAGGUUCUUUUCUCAUACUCACAGAUAUACCCCUCAUACGGGGUUAUUUUCUAACAUUUACAAAUGUACACCAGAUAUCGAGUUGUUUUCUCAUUUUAAAGAAUUCACCCCUUAUUUCUCAUACUCAUUAGUAUACCCUUUACGAGGUUGUUUUCUUGUACUCACAAAUAUACCGUAAUUGUUACAAAUAUUUCCAUCUUACGGGAUUAUUUUCUCAUUUUAAAAAAUAUACACCUUUUAAUGGUUGUUUUUUCACACUCACAAAUAUACUCAAAUUACGAUAUUGUUUCUUAUAUUGACAAAUAUACCCGUUUUAUAGGGUUGUUUUGUCAUAAUAACAAAUAUAUUCAUCUUACGGGAUUGAUUUAUCAUAUUCAUAAAUAUAACGCGUGUUACAGGAUGGUGUUAUCACACUCACAAAUAUACCCCAUUUCACAGGGUUGUUUUCUUAUAUUGAUAAAUAUUCCCUUUUUAUGGGAUUGUUUUCUCAUACAAACAAAUAUACCCUCUUAAGAGAUUGUUUCUUAUAUUGACAAAUAUUCUCCUUUUACGGGGUUGUUUCUCAUACUCAUAAAUAUACCACUCUUACGGGGUUAUUUUCUCAUAUUCAUAAAUAUAUCCCUUUUUACGGGAUUGCUUUAUCACAUUCAUAAAUAAACCCCUUUUACGGAGUUGUAUUAUAAUAUUUACACAUAUACCCCUUUACAGGGAUGUUUUCUCAUAUUCAUAAAAUAUCCCUUUUACACUAUUAUUUUUCAUGCUCACAAAUAUACCCCACUUACGAAGUUAUUUUCUUAUAUUGAUAAAUAUACCCCUUUUAUGUGGUUGCUUUCUCAUAUUAAAAAUAAACCCUCUUACGGAGUUGAUUUCUUAUAUUUAUAAAUAUACCCCUUUUACUAAGUUAUUUUCUUAUACACACAAAUAUACUGUACUUAUGGGGUUGUUUUCUUAUAUUGGCAAAUAUACCCUUAUUAUUGGGUUCUUUUCUAAUAUUUACAAAUAUACCCUCUAUUGCAGGGUUGACUUCUCAUAUUCAUAAAAAUACCCUGUGUUAUGGGGUUAUUUUCUCAUACUCACAAAUGUACCCAUCUUACGGGGUUAUUUUCUAGUAUUUACAAAUAUGCCCGUCUUAUGGGAUAUUUUUCUCAUACUCACAGAUAUACCCCUCAUACAGGAUUGUUUUCUAAUAUUUAUAAAUAUACCCAUCUUACGGGUUGUUUUUCAUUUCAAAAAAUACACCCCUUUUACGAGUUUGUUUUCUCAUACAUACUAGUAUACUCUUGGUACGUUGUUGUUUUCUCAUACUCACAGAUAUAUACCUCUUACGGGGUUAUUUUCUCAAUUUUGUAAAUAUAUCCCUUGUGCGAGGUUGUUUUCUCAUACUCACAAAUAUACCUCACUUACUAGGUUGUUCUCUUAUAUUGAUAAAUAUACCCCUUAUACGGGUUUGUUUUCUCAAACUCAUAAAUAUACCCCUCUUAAGGUGUGUUUACUAAUAUUUAUAAAUAUACCUCUUUUACAAGGUUGUUUUCUUAUGGUAAAAAAUACAUCCCUAAUAUUUACAAAUAUACCCCUCGUGCGGGAUUAUUUUCUCAUACUCAUAAAUAUACCACUCUUACGGGAUUGUUUUCUCAUAUUCAUAAAUAUACCCCAUUUAUGUGGUUUUUUUAUACUCACAGAUAUAUCCCACUUGUGGGGUUAUUUUUUAAUAUUGACAAAUAUACAUCUUUUACGCGGUUGUUUUCUCAUAUUCACAAAUAUACCCCUCUUAUGGGGUUGAUUUCUCAUAUUCCUAAAUAUACCCCUUUUAUGGAAUUCUUUUCUCAAACUCAAAAAAAUACCCUACUUACGACUUUGUUUUCUUGAAUUGACAAAAAUAUCCCUCUUACGGGAUUAUUUUCUAUUAUUUAUAAAUAUAGCUCCUCUUACGAGAUUUUUUCCUCAUAUUAAAAAAUAUACCCCUUUUACGAGGUAGUCAUAUGAUAUUUACAAAUACACCACACUUACGAGAUUAUUUUCUAAUAUUGACAAAUAUAAUCCUUUUACGGGGUUGAUUUCUCAAUUCAUAAAUAUAUACCCUGUGUUAUGGGUGUAACGACCUGGAACCAAAUCAUAAGAGAUAUUCUCCUCUUUGGCACCCAUUGGCCUCACGGUUUUGUCUCUUUGGCGAGAACUUCCCAGGAGGUCACCCAUCUUGGAAUUUCUCUGAACCAAGCACGUUUAGCUUUAGAGUUCCUACUACUCCACAGCCAAACAACCAAAAAACCACUAAUGUUAUUAAUCCCAACUCUUUAGAUAUAUUUUAUCAAUUAUUCCUAUCCCAUUUCGAUGUAUAAUUCGAUUCAUUCAUAUAUUCCUGUACCUUAGAGUGCUAUCAUCCUAGAAGCCUGCCAUAAACCGCUCAUUGUCCAGGCAUCAUAUCCUUUCCCCGGCGUCCGCUUCCCACCCUCGUCGAACCGCUUCUCUAGGUUAGGCUGUCACAUGCCCACCAGCUUCCGCCUGGUUCGUACUCGAACUACACAUCUACUAGAGGGGUACUACUCUAAUACCAUUUGUAACAACUUGGAACCAGAUCACAUGAGAUAUUGUCCGCUUUGCCCUCCACUAGCUUCUAGUUUUGUCCCUUUAGCGGGUUCGAGAACUUCCCAAGAGGUCACCUAUCCUGGAAUUUCUCUAAACCAACCUCAUUUAAUUUUGGAGUUCUUACAACUCUAUAGCCAAACAACCAAAAGACGCCUCAUGUGAUUAGCUCCAACUCUUUACAUAUAUGUUAUCAAUCAUUCCCACCUCAUUUCGAUGAGCAAUUCGAUUCAUUCAUGUACCCCCGUACCUUAGACUGCUGCAAUCCUAGAAGCCUGCAAGAAGCCGCUCCUUGUCUAGGCAUCCUAUCCUUGCCCCCAAUGUCUGUUUUUCGCCCUCGUCGGACCGCUUCUCUAGGUCAGGUUGUCACAACGAGGUUGUUCUCUUUUACUUAUAAAUAUAUCCCUCUUAUGGUGCUUUAUAUAGUAUUUACAAAUAUACUCCUUUUACGAAGUUUGUUUUCUCACAUAGAUAUACCCCUCAUAUGAGAUUAUUUUCUAAAAUUUAUAAAAAUACCCCUCUUACAGGGUUGUUUUCUCAUAUUAAAAAAUAUACCCAUUUUACGAGGUUGCUUUCUCAUACUCAUAAAUAUACACCUUUUACAAGGUUGUUUUAUAAUAUUUACAAAUAUACCCCUCUUAGGUGAUUUUUUUCAAAUUCAUGAAUAUACCUAUUUUACGGGGUUAUUUUCUCAUACUCAUAAAUAUACUCCACUUACGGCUUUGUUCUCUUAUAUAGAUAAAUAUACCCCUUUUACGGGGUAGUUUUGUCAUACACACAAAAUACCCCUCUUAAGGGGUUGUUUUCUAAUACUUACAAAUAUACCCCUCCUACGAGGUUGUUUUCUCAUACUAAAAAAUACACCAGUUUUAUAGGUUUUUUUUCUCAUACUCACAAAUAAACCUUUGGUACGAGGUUGUUUUCUGAUACUCACAAAUAAACCCCUGGUACAAGGUUAUUUUCUCAUACUCACAAAUAUACCCCUUUUACGGAGUUUUUUUUAGUAUUUAAAAAUAUACCCCUCUUACGGAGUUUUUUUCUCAUACUCACAAAUAUACCCCUAUUACGGGGUUGCAUUCUAAUAUUUACAAAUAUAACCCUCUUACAGGGUUGUGUUCUCAUAUUAAAAAAUACACCCAUUUUAUGGAGAUGCUUUCUCAUACUCAUAAAUAUACCCCUCGUACGGGGUUGUUUUCUUAUACUCACAAAUAUAUACUUCUUACAGGGUUAUUUUUCAAUAUUUACAAAUAUAUCCCUCUUACGGAAUUUUUUCUCAAAUUCAUAAAUAUACCCCCAAUGCGGGAUUGUUUUCUCAUACUCACAAAUAUACUCCACUUACACGUUUGUUUUCUUAUAUAGACAAAUCUACCCCUCUUACGAGCAUAUAUACGUUUUUUAAGGGGUUAUUUUCUAAUAUUUAUAAAUAUACCGUUCUUACGGGGUUGGUUUCUCACUCACAAAUAUACCCAAAGUACGAGGUUGUUUUCUCAUACUCAUAAGUAUACCACUGUUACAGGGUUUUUUUGCAUAUUGAGAAAUAUAUCCCUUUUACGGGGUUGUUUUCUCAAACUCACAAAUCCUCUUUUACAAGAUUCUUUUCUAAUAUUUAAAAAUAUAUAUCCCUUUUACAGGUUAAUUUCUCAUAUUCACAAUAUAACCCUUUUAUGCGAUUGUUUUUUCGUACUCACAAAUAUAUCCUACUUAUGGGGUUGUUUUCUUAUAUUAACAAAUACACCCCUCUUACGAGGUUGUUUUCUAAUACUUACAAAUAUACCCCCUAUUACGGGGUUGUUUUCUCAUAUUAAAAAAUAUAUCCCUUUUAUGGGGUUGUUUUCUCACACUCACAGAUAUACCCCUUUUAAGGGGUUGUUUUCUAAUAUUUACAAAUAUAACCCUCUUACGAGGUUGUUUCCUCAUAUUAAGAAAUAAUACCCAUUUUACAGGUUAAUUUCUCAUACUCGCAAAUAUACCCCUCGGAAAACUCAAGUGUACUCCUCUUGUGCGGUUGUAUUCUCAUAUUCAUAAAUAUAGCCCUCUUAUAGGAUUUUUCUCUCAUACUCAUAGAUAUACCCCUCUUACGGAGUUGUUUUCUAAUAUUUAUGAAUAUACCCCAUUUACGAGAUUGUUUUCUUAUAAUUACAGAUAUACCUCUCUUAAGGGUUUUUUAUAAUAUUUAUAAAUAUGCGUCUCUUACGAGGUUGUUUUCUCGUAUUAAAAAAUACACUCAUUUUUUGGGAUUGCUUUCUCAUACUCACAAAUAUACCCCUCGUUCGGGGUUGUUUUCUCAUACUCACAAAUAUAACACUCUUACAGGGUUUUUUUCUCAUAUUUUCAAAUAUACCCCUUUUACGUGGUUAUUUUCUCACAUUUAGAAAUAUACUCCUCUAACGGGGUUGAUUUCUCAUACUCAUAAAUAUACCUCUUUUACGUAUUUAUUUUUUCAUACUCACAAAUAUACCCCACUUACAAAGUUAUUUUCUUAUAUUGAUAAAUAUACCCCUCUUAUAGAGUUAUUUUUUCAUACUCACAAAUAUUCUCCACUUACGGGAUUAGUUUAUAAUAGUCAUAAAUAUACCCUACUUAUGGUAUUUUUUCUGAUAUUUACAAAUAUACCCCUCUUAUGAGGUUGUUUUCUUAUAUUUAUUAAUAUGUACCCCCUCUUAAGGGGUUGUUUUCUCAUAUUAAGAAAAGCUCUUUUUACGGGGUUCUUUUUUUCAUACUCACAAAUAUACCAAAUAUAUAUGGUUGUCUUCCUAUAUUAACUAAUGUACCCCUAUUUAUGGGGUUGUUUUUCUCAUAUUCAUAAAUGUAUCCCUAAUACGGGGUUCAUUUCUCAUAUUCAUAUAUAUAUAUAUAUAUACAUAUAUAUACCCCAUGCUACGGGGUUGUUGUCUGAUACCCAUAAAUAUACCCCUCUUACGUGAUUGUUUUCUAGUAUUUACAAAUAUAGCCCUCUUACAAGGUUUUUCUCUCAUACCCACACGAGGUUGUUUUCUAAUAUUUAUAAAUAUACCACUCUUACGUAGUUGUUUUCUCAUUUUAAGAAAUACACCCAUUUUACGGGGUUGUUUUCUCAUACUAAAAUAUUAACCUGUGUACGAGGUUGUUUUCUCAUACUCACAAAUAUACAACUUUCACGGGAUUAGUUUUCAGUAUUUACAAAUAUACCCCUCUUAUGGGGUUUUUUCUCAAAUUCAUAAAUAUAUCCAUUUAAUGAUGUUUUCUCAUACUCACAUAUAUAAUCUACUUACGGGUUUCUUCUCUUAUAUUGAAAAAAUAUACCCCUUUUAUAGGAUUGUUUUCUCAUACUCACAAAUACACCCCUUUUAAGGGUUAUUUUCUAAUAUUUAUAAAUAUACCCCUUUUACGAGGUUGUUUUCUCAUAUUAAAAAAUACACCCCUUUUACGGGCUUACUUUCUUAUACUCCCAAAUAUAUGCCUUGUACGGGAUCGUUUCUCAUACUCACAAAUANNNNNNNNNNNNNNNNNNNNNNNNNNNNNNNNAAUAUGCCCCCUCUUACGGGGUUGUUUUCUCAUAUUCAUAAAUAUACUUGUUUUACGUGGUUAUUUUGUCAUACUCAUGGAUAUACCUCUUUUACGGGAUUCUUUCUAAUAUUUAUAAAAUACCUUUUUUACGGGCUGUUUUCUCGUAUUCCAAAUAUAACCCUUUUAUGCUGUUAUUUUUUCAUACUCACAAAUAUACCCCACUCGGGGUUGUUUUAUCGUAGUUACAAAUAUACCCUACUUACAGGGUUAUUUUUUUCUAUUCACAAACAUAUACCUCUUAUGAGGUUAUUUUCUAAUAUUUAUAAAUAUACCCUCUCUUACGGGGUUGUUUUCUCCUAUUAAAAGAUAUACUUCUUUUACGGGGUUGUUUAUUCAUAUUCACAAAUAUACCACACUUACGUGGUUGCCUUGUUAUAUUGACUAAUCCACCCUUUUUACGAGGUUGUUUUCUUAUAUUCACAAAUAUACCAUUCUUACAGAGUUGAAUACUCAUAUUCAUAAAUAUACCUUAUAACACCCCAACUCAAACUUCCCAUUGAAUAGCAAUAUAUAUAUAUAUAUAUAACUUUAUAAACAUAAUUUACUACUUAGUUACAAUAUACAUUCAUACAAUUUAAGUGGCAUGACAUACUUAAUAUAUAUAAGAAAUAUUUAUACAGUAGUUUAAUUCACACAAGUUCCCAAAAUGCCCCAAUGCUUUAGAUAACUCCUCUGGCCCACCUGAUAAUAUUGACUGAUGCAAAAAGAGCAAUGCACAGCUAAGGCUAUCUACAACUGCACUAACCUGAAAAAAAAAAUUGCUAAGGAAUGAGCUAGCGACUCAAUAAGCAUUUAAUUUACUAAACUAUAGUAUAUUAGGCUAGAAUU